GACGAACGCUGGCGGCGUGCCUAAUACAUGCAAGUAGAACGCACAGGAUGCACCGUAGUUUACUACACCGUAUUCUGUGAGUUGCGAACGGGUGAGUAACGCGUAGGUAACCUGCCUGGUAGCGGGGGAUAACUAUUGGAAACGAUAGCUAAUACCGCAUAAGAACAUUUACUGCAUGGUAGAUGUUUAAAAGGUGCAAAUGCAUCACUACCAGAUGGACCUGCGUUGUAUUAGCUAGUUGGUGAGGUAACGGCUCACCAAGGCAACGAUACAUAGCCGACCUGAGAGGGUGAUCGGCCACACUGGGACUGAGACACGGCCCAGACUCCUACGGGAGGCAGCAGUAGGGAAUCUUCGGCAAUGGGGGGAACCCUGACCGAGCAACGCCGCGUGAGUGAAGAAGGUUUUCGGAUCGUAAAGCUCUGUUGUUAAGGAAGAACGUGUGUGAGAGUGGAAAGUUCACACAGUGACGGUACUUAACCAGAAAGGGACGGCUAACUACGUGCCAGCAGCCGCGGUAAUACGUAGGUCCCGAGCGUUGUCCGGAUUUAUUGGGCGUAAAGCGAGCGCAGGCGGUUAGAUAAGUCUGAAGUGAAAGGCAGUGGCUCAACCAUUGUAGGCUUUGGAAACUGUUUAACUUGAGUGCAGAAGGGGAGAGUGGAAUUCCAUGUGUAGCGGUGAAAUGCGUAGAUAUAUGGAGGAACACCGGUGGCGAAAGCGGCUCUCUGGUCUGUAACUGACGCUGAGGCUCGAAAGCGUGGGGAGCGAACAGGAUUAGAUACCCUGGUAGUCCAAGGGCGAAUUCCACAGUGGAUAUCAAGCUUAUCGAUACCGUCGACCUCGAGGGGGGGACAAGAUACCCAGCUUUUGUUCCCUUUAGUGAGGGUUA
RNAcentral lists this ribosomal RNA (889 nucleotides) under uncultured Enterobacteriaceae bacterium. RNAcentral describes it as "bacterial SSU rRNA". It matches the Rfam family "Bacterial small subunit ribosomal RNA". The record is from RNAcentral. Lineage: Bacteria; Pseudomonadati; Pseudomonadota; Gammaproteobacteria; Enterobacterales; Enterobacteriaceae.